Sinocyclocheilus grahami is the source of this 631-nucleotide long non-coding RNA. RefSeq lists it as uncharacterized. NCBI's taxonomy places the organism in Eukaryota, Metazoa, Chordata, Actinopteri, Cypriniformes, Cyprinidae. The transcript is spliced from 2 exons. The record is from RefSeq and is a predicted model, not a curated record.
AGAAACCAGAGCCUCUCUUACAGGCUUUUGAUGAAGCCAUUGCUGAGCUUGACACUUUAAAUGAGGACUCCUACAAAGACAGCACCUUGAUCAUGCAGCUUCUAAGGGACAACCUCACUCUUUGGACGUCAGAAAACCAGGGCGACGAAGCAGGCGACAACGAGAACUAGGGGAGCCGCACUGAUCUCCAAACACCCACACAUCCACCUUAAAUACACAAAUGGCUUCCACCAACCCUCCCAUCUCAUUCCACCCUACAGCACCCACCCCUCUCAAAAUCCAGUUCCCAGCCCCGCUCCCCUGUACCUUCUGAACGAUGAUCAGCACCCGCAGGAAGACGCUCAGCGAAGCCCCCGUGGCUGGGAGGGGGGGGUGUUGGCUCACAGGGUGACAUGCUGACAUUAGAGCAGGUCCAGUCAUUUUGUUUGUGAAUUUAAUGUGUACUGAUUAUCAAACCCUGUCCUUUAUGCAUGUCUGAGUGAGACUGUAAGAGUGUGUGUGCUGCUAACGGAGAGUAACUGUGUGUGUGUGUGUGUGUGUUUGAAAGUGAGAGUGAGUGUAUUGGGGAUCGGGGUUGUGAACUCUAAUUUUCCUUCCUGAUAAAUCCCUUUGUUCCACUUUAGCUGGUUGU